GCAAUGCGGUUGACCUCCAAUCCUCACCAAAGUUAUACCAUAGAAUCCCGUUUGUCCCCUCAUGCAAAAUCCACCACCCGUUUCUUUCAAAUCAUCAUAGAACCCUUCAAAUCUGAGAUGGAAGUUUGGACCCUCAAACCCUAACCUACCCAAAUUCAUAUCAGGUGAUCCCCACACCUAUUUCCCGAAAAUCAAAACAAAAUUUCUUGGCAGUUUGGUAUUUUCCCCUAAUUUCUUACGAUUUCAUGCAUUUUAGUAUUUCUGUUUUUAUUUUUUAUUUGUUUCUUUGUUUUGUUUUGUUUUAUUAGUAGUCAAAUUCAUCUUAAGUUAGUGUUAAAAUAAGUUUUUAAUCAUAAAAUUUGAGUUAUUUGAUUUUUUUUCUUUUUUUUGGAUUUGAUUCUUUUUCUGUGUUCUUAUUUCUUCAUUUAUGAUUACUCGAGUUCAUAUAUUAACUAUGAUCAUAACUGACCUAGUGAAGGGACCUAUUCAUUUGGAUCUUGUGUUAAUUUGACCCAGGUUAGUAAUUGGAAAGUAAAUACAAGGGUGUUAUAGGUUAUUUUGGUCAUCUAACUAAAAGAAAUCUAGCCUAACUAAUUAGGAAGUUGCUAGGAAAGUGGGAAUUGGGGCUGACUUAGAAAACAGGCUAGAAAAUCAGGCUCUAAGUAGAAAAAUGAUAGAGUCAUUUCUGCUGCCCUAAAGGCUCUCUAUAAGAAGCAUAUUUAUUUCUUUGUGAAUGAGCUUUUAGAUAUUUUAGAAUACUAACAAAACACACAAGUUUGAGCUCUUGAUAUUUUAAAAUACUGAAAAUCUCCCGCAUUUUGGGUAAAAAUUGGCUUUGGUUCUGCUUUUAAUCUUCAUAGCUUGAAACAUUCAAGAAUUUUUGGUUCAUUUUGGGUCCAAAAAUGGUUUAGAAGAACUAAGCAUUGUUGUAGUUUGGCCGUGCUAGUCUUGCUGAUAUAUUGCUGCUAUUUCUUCCUAACUUUAGGCCUGUUUUAUGUGUUGUUUUUGCUGUAACCAGGUACCUCUUUGACUUUAUUAAUAUAUGAAGCUUGAGUCUGAAGCAUUGUUGAAGAUGUAAACUCUGGUUGGCUGAAAAUCCAUUUGUGUUGCUGAAAACUUGUCCUAGUUCUAUAUUAAUUUAUGUUUUAUCACAUUAUUCAUUGUAUUUACUCAUGCCAUGAAUUUUACAAUUUGUAUUGGGGUUAUAUUUAGACUUUAGGUUUGUCGUUUUGGUUUCAGUUUGGGUUGAAUUCUUCUGUCAUAUGUUUGGUGUUGGACGGUUACAAGAUAGUUUUAAGUGAGAUGAAGAACUCUCGUUGUUAGGUUUUGAUCAAGUUUGCUUAAGCUGGUAGUGAUUUAUAAGUCUACAGUUAAUUAUUUCCGUGGUUUUGACUGUUUUUGGUGUUCGUUUGGUAUUUAAACAAAUUCAGUAACAUGAUGAUGUAUUUUGAUAUUCAGUUUAAAUGUUUUAGAGUACUUUACUGUUAGGACCACUAUGUGUACAAAUUUAGUACAAUGUGGUGCUUUUGGGGAUUUUUGCUUGAAUUGCUAAAAUGAUAUGUAUGGGUUUGAGUAAGAACUUUCAGUUGGAGUCCAUGUUAGCAAAUGUAUUCUUUUAUUUGGAACCAUGUUAGUGUUUAGUUAGGAGUCAUGAAUUCUAUUGGAUUUUAAAGAAUAAGGUAAUUGUGUAUGGGUUAUUACAACUUUAAGAUUAAAUCUUCAUUAUAGAAUGUGAUUUGGCAAUAAAAUAC
Molecule: long non-coding RNA, 1751 nt
Filed under: Nicotiana benthamiana
Lineage: Eukaryota; Viridiplantae; Streptophyta; Magnoliopsida; Solanales; Solanaceae
Description: long non-coding RNA (NBEN_LNC006245)
Source: RNAcentral